Penaeus monodon (black tiger shrimp) is the source of this 308-nucleotide long non-coding RNA. RefSeq lists it as uncharacterized. Lineage: Eukaryota; Metazoa; Arthropoda; Malacostraca; Decapoda; Penaeidae. The transcript has 3 exons. The record is from RefSeq and is a predicted model, not a curated record.
CCGCGAGCUUGCGCUUGGUUUUACUGCGUUCCGGAGCUGGGUAUGAUGAAUUUACAUUCUUCAGGGAGUCAAGUUCACAACUUCAGUAUGACAUGACAUUUCGGCGUGUGUCUGGUGUUUUAGGUGCCACUUGUGUUGUAGCGAGUGCCAGUCUCGAUGUGUCCUGCGCUUGUCGCAAAAAUCAGACGGAAAUUAACAGCUUCUACGUUGAAAGCUUUGACGAUGAUGGCACGAAGACUCCAAGCUACUUUUCCUUGGACUGUGAGGAUGACGCAGAUGGAAAGUCUGACUCAGAUACGGAGUGGAAU